This 447-nucleotide ribosomal RNA is filed under the name uncultured bacterium. RNAcentral describes it as "bacterial SSU rRNA". It matches the Rfam family "Bacterial small subunit ribosomal RNA", at positions 355 to 825 of the family's 1533-position model. The record is from RNAcentral.
UGGGGAAUAUUGGACAAUGGGCGCAAGCCUGAUCCAGCCAUGCCGCGUGGAUGAUGAAGGCCCUAGGGUUGUAAAGUCCUUUCGACGGGGAAGAUAAUGACGGUACCCGUAGAAGAAGCCCCGGCUAACUUCGUGCCAGCAGCCGCGGUAAUACGAAGGGGGCUAGCGUUGUUCGGAAUUACUGGGCGUAAAGCGCACGUAGGCGGAUUGUUAAGUCAGAGGUGAAAUCCCGGAGCUCAACUUCGGAACUGCCUUUGAUACUGGCAAUCUCGAGUCCGGAAGAGGUUAGUGGAAUUCCCAGUGUAGAGGUGAAAUUCGUAGAUAUUGGGAAGAACACCAGCGGCGAAGGCGGCUAACUGGUCCGGUACUGACGCUGAGGUGCGAAAGCGUGGGGAGCAAACAGGAUUAGAUACCCCCGUAGUCCCUGAGCGGGCUGGCAAGGCGCAU